Long non-coding RNA from Chinchilla lanigera (long-tailed chinchilla), 1615 nucleotides. The record is from Ensembl. NCBI's taxonomy places the organism in Eukaryota, Metazoa, Chordata, Mammalia, Rodentia, Chinchillidae.
GCAGAGUGCUGAUGGUUCAGGGUCUCUUAGGGCUACAGUCACCUGGAGUCCACAUCCACCGAGGUAGGCAAGAGGCCUUGCUGCUGGUGUGUCCUCAAACAGGGCAUCUGGUCCCCUCCAGAGAAGGUGGCAGAAGAGAGGGCAAGUGCAGGCCACCACACCUUUAUGUGAGUCUCCAGCCCCAGCCCACGUGGAGGAGAGGGAAUCAGCCUCCACACUUUGGAGAGAGAAAUAGCAAAGAACACUGGGCCUAUUUUAAAAGCACCAGAAGCCAAUCUAGAAGAAGGAUUUUAAGAAUAUCCUCAAGUGUGAUAGUCCAGGAGCCGUGACCCAGGUGGUUAGAGCGCUGCCUCCCAGUCUGCAGCCCCACUGGUCUGGAAAAGGGCAGAGAGAAAACAGCCAUCGAGCAGCACAAGGAGCAGGUGAGCGCGUGAAAGCCGCCAUUAGUAACGGCACCAGAGCCAGCGCGGGCCCCUCAGCCAGCCCCUGCAGCUUCUCCUCCCUCCCGGACAGGGCCGCUUCCCCCACAGGCGCUGGCCGGCACAGGCCCGGCUCCCCAGGGUUUCCCAGACUGGCCUUUCCGCAGGCUUCAGCAGCGGGAAAAGGCUCCCCAGUGGGCUCCGCAGGGCGUCGGCAUCCACCGGAACCCCUGGAAAACCUCUGAACCUUCCUCCCCUCCUGGGGCUCACCUUCCGCGGACCUGUUUCCAAGGUAAUUGUAGCUGUGUACUUUUCUUUUAUCUCCACAUUUAAUCAUGUUCCUUGUUGAAAAAAAAAAAAAUAGAAAAUAGAGAUAUGAAAGAAAAGCUGUGCUACACUCAAAAAUAUCCACUAACAUUUGAAAUAUUUCUUCUAGUUUCUCUCUCUUUCCAAGUACAGAGCGAGCGAGAGAGACAGAGACAGAGAAAACCCUAGAAGAAAUAUCUCAGAAUAUUAACAGUAGCUAUCUUUGAAUUAGGGUGGAUUUUUUUCAUAUCUCCAUUUUCUAAUUUUUUUUCAACAAAUGUAGGGUGAAAAAAUACAUGGCUACAAUUUUAAACUACGUUUCUCAUCCCUGGCAGUUUGACAUUUCCUUUUGGUAGGGAGGUCUUACGCCCUGUAGGGUGUUUAGCAGCACCCCUGCCCUUUACCCAUUAGGUUCCGCAGCCCCCCCACCCCCCGUCAUACAUGAUAACCAAAUCCAUCUCCGGGUUUGGCCAAAUGUCCCUGGAGGGCAAAGUCAACCGCAAUUUAAAAUUCACUCACUUCAAAUACAUACGCCCCCACAUAUAUUUACUAAAUGGAGUUACUGUAUAUCAUAAAUACUGGCUUGUCUCUUUAAAUUAAAAAAAUUGAAAAGUGUACCAUGCCGUAAGCUCUUUCCAUGCUGGGUAUCAGGGCUCAUUGCCUCGAUUUGAAAGGGCUGUGCUGUUGAACGUCCUCUGACUCCGUGUGUGAACCAGUUUAUAUCACCAGUCCCCACUCUGGGACACAGAGUAUAAAACCGAAAUCCUACCGCUCAUACAGUGGUACAAGCUGCCUUUGAAAGUGCAGAGGUCCUGAUGUCCACAGCACAGUUGCGGGAUGCUGCCUGAGUAACUUCACCUCUGUCUCCUCAUGUGUGACGAGGACAGUCC